Molecule: ribosomal RNA, 253 nt
Filed under: uncultured bacterium
Lineage: Bacteria
Description: partial 16S ribosomal RNA
Rfam family: Bacterial small subunit ribosomal RNA
Source: RNAcentral
UACAGAGGUCCCAAGCGUUGUUCGGAUUCAUUGGGCGUAAAGGGUGCGUAGGCGGCGCGGUAGGUCGGGUGUGAAAUCUCGGGGCUUAACUCCGAAACUGCAUUCGAUACUGCCGUGCUUGAGGACUGGAGAGGAGACUGGAAUUUACGGUGUAGCGGUGAAAUGCGUAGAUAUCGUAAGGAAGACCAGUGGCGAAGGCGGGUCUCUGGACAGUUCCUGACGCUGAGGCACGAAGGCCAGGGGAGCAAACGGG